This 660-nucleotide long non-coding RNA is filed under the name Salvia miltiorrhiza (redroot sage). Its description in RNAcentral is "long non-coding RNA (SMIL_LNC010995)". The record is from RNAcentral. Lineage: Eukaryota; Viridiplantae; Streptophyta; Magnoliopsida; Lamiales; Lamiaceae.
UAAAAUCACUAAAAAGUAUACACGCAUAAAUUUUAGACAAAUCACAAUUACUAAUUAAGAGAUUACUCGAAAGAAUUAUGGAACAAACGCUGAGUUCAGUACAUCAAAUCUGACAUAUGCACCUAUGUCUCUUAACACGAAUUCGACUUCAAAUGAACCAAAAAAAAAAAACAAAAAACAAAUGCCGACCACUAAAAAAUAUUAGAACAACAAAGUCUUCUCCUGCCAUUACAUUCGUUCAUCAAACCACAAAAACAUAAAGUAGAAUAGGGUCUCUAAGUACAGAAGGAAGCUAGAUCAAGUAAAACAACCACUACGCUACAGAUGCAACAUUCAGUACACAUUGUUGGAACACAUAAACAAAAAUAAAUCAUUUCUUCUUAUCGGAUACGUUCUCGACCCGGAGCUCACCGGAUAGCUUGAAUAAUUUUGCGCAGUACCGCUGACGUGAAUCUAGGCAUUUCUUGGGAUCGAUUUCAUAUACGGAUACUUUAUUGUGAUCUCCAGCUACACUGUAAUUUACCAAUCUCAACACCUUCUCUGAACCCACCCACAUUAAGAAGAAGAAAUGGUGGAUAUAAACUCAACGACUACAUUUUCGAAAAACUAAAUCUACCUAUACAUAUAACGUGUCGAGUAUACAAUGGCCAAAACUUUAUU